CUGCCGAUAGGAGAUGGCAUUCCUCCCCUAGAACCGCCCCCAACGGGGCUAAUGAUGCCUACAGGCCU
Molecule: non-coding RNA, 68 nt
Filed under: Paraburkholderia unamae
Lineage: Bacteria; Pseudomonadati; Pseudomonadota; Betaproteobacteria; Burkholderiales; Burkholderiaceae
Description: Fluoride
Rfam family: Fluoride riboswitch aptamer (crcB RNA motif)
Source: RNAcentral